This 788-nucleotide ribosomal RNA is filed under the name uncultured Lactobacillus sp. RNAcentral's name for it is "bacterial SSU rRNA". It matches the Rfam family "Bacterial small subunit ribosomal RNA", at positions 28 to 776 of the family's 1533-position model. The record is from RNAcentral. Lineage: Bacteria; Bacillati; Bacillota; Bacilli; Lactobacillales; Lactobacillaceae.
GACGAACGCUGGCGGCGUGCCUAAUACAUGCAAGUCGAGCGAGCUUGCCUAGAUGAAUUUGGUGCUUGCACCAAAUGAAACUAGAUACAAGCGAGCGGCGGACGGGUGAGUAACACGUGGGUAACCUGCCCAAGAGACUGGGAUAACACCUGGAAACAGAUGCUAAUACCGGAUAACAACACUAGACGCAUGUCUAGAGUUUAAAAGAUGGUUCUGCUAUCACUCUUGGAUGGACCUGCGGUGCAUUAGCUAGUUGGUAAGGUAACGGCUUACCAAGGCAAUGAUGCAUAGCCGAGUUGAGAGACUGAUCGGCCACAUUGGGACUGAGACACGGCCCAAACUCCUACGGGAGGCAGCAGUAGGGAAUCUUCCACAAUGGACGCAAGUCUGAUGGAGCAACGCCGCGUGAGUGAAGAAGGGUUUCGGCUCGUAAAGCUCUGUUGGUAGUGAAGAAAGAUAGAGGUAGUAACUGGCNNUUAUUUGACGGUAAUUACUUAGAAAGUCACGGCUAACUACGUGCCAGCAGCCGCGGUAAUACGUAGGUGGCAAGCGUUGUCCGGAUUUAUUGGGCGUAAAGCGAGUGCAGGCGGUUCAAUAAGUCUGAUGUGAAAGCCUUCGGCUCAACCGGAGAAUUGCAUCAGAAACUGUUGAACUUGAGUGCAGAAGAGGAGAGUGGAACUCCAUGUGUAGCGGUGGAAUGCGUAGAUAUAUGGAAGAACACCAGUGGCGAAGGCGGCUCUCUGGUCUGCAACUGACGCUGAGGCUCGAAAGCAUGGGUAGCGAACAGG